GCACAAGCGGUGGAGCAUGUGGUUCAAUUCGAAGCAACGCGAAGAACCUUACCAGCUUUUGACAUCCCGGUCGCGAGCACCAGAGAUGGAGCUCUUCAGUUCGGCUGGACCGGAGACAGGUGCUGCAUGGCUGUCGUCAGCUCGUGUCGUGAGAUGUUGGGUUAAGUCCCGCAACGAGCGCAACCCUCGCCCUUAGUUGCCAUCAUUUAGUUGGGCACUCUAAGGGGACUGCCGGUGAUAAGCCGGAGGAAGGUGGGGAUGACGUCAAGUCCUCAUGGCCCUUACAGGCUGGGCUACACACGUGCUACAAUGGCGGUGACAGAGGGAUGCAAAGAAGCAAUCCUUAGCAAAUCUCAAAAAGCCGUCUCAGUUCGGAUUGUGCUCUGCAACUCGAGCACAUGAAGUUGGAAUCGCUAGUAAUCGCAGAUCAGCACGCUGCGGUGAAUACGUUCCCGGGC
Molecule: ribosomal RNA, 458 nt
Filed under: uncultured bacterium
Lineage: Bacteria
Description: bacterial SSU rRNA
Rfam family: Bacterial small subunit ribosomal RNA
Source: RNAcentral